GACGAACGCUGGCGGCGUGCUUAACACAUGCAAGUCGAACGGAAAGACCCUGCUUUUGUGGGGUGCUCGAGUGGCGAACGGGUGAGUAACACGUGAGUAACCUGCCCUUGACUUUGGGAUAACUUCAGGAAACUGGGGCUAAUACCGGAUAGGAGCUCCUGCUGCAUGGUGGGGGUUGGAAAGUUUCGGCGGUUGGGGAUGGACUCGCGGCUUAUCAGCUUGUUGGUGGGGUAGUGGCUUACCAAGGCUUUGACGGGUAGCCGGCCUGUGAGGGUGACCGGCCACAUUGGGACUGAGAUACGGCCCAGACUCCUACGGGAGGCAGCAGUGGGGAAUAUUGCACAAUGGGCGGAAGCCUGAUGCAGCAACGCCGCGUGCGGGAUGACGGCCUUCGGGUUGUAAACCGCUUUCGCCUGUGACGAAGCGUGAGUGACGGUAAUGGGUAAAGAAGCACCGACUAACUACGUG
RNAcentral lists this ribosomal RNA (468 nucleotides) under uncultured bacterium. Its description in RNAcentral is "partial 16S ribosomal RNA". It matches the Rfam family "Bacterial small subunit ribosomal RNA", at positions 28 to 507 of the family's 1533-position model. The record is from RNAcentral.